Molecule: long non-coding RNA, 1464 nt
Organism: Macadamia integrifolia
Lineage: Eukaryota; Viridiplantae; Streptophyta; Magnoliopsida; Proteales; Proteaceae
Exons: 3
Source: RefSeq, a predicted model, not a curated record
AUGGUUCAGUCAUUGCACUGGAUGCUUCCUCGUAGAGUGAAGGAGAUAGUUGAUGCAUCUUAUCUGUGCCGGUUAGCCCUUAUAGAGACCCGAAAGUUCAAUCUGGCACUGGUGGGGGCCCUGAUGGAGUGGUGGUGGUCGAGUACUCAUUCUUUUCAUCUCCCUAUUGGAAAGAUCACCAUCAUGCCCCUAUGCUUCUAUGCCUUAACAUGCGUUCCAUUUGGGGGUAGACCCAUGACCCUACUUGGGAUUUUGACUAUCAGGGAGUUUGCAGACUUGACAGGGCUUACCAUUGCAGCUGACCAGACACACAUCUGUCUAGGGGAGAUUAGUGCCCGAUGGCGGAAAACCAGCCGAUGGGAGAACCCAGGUAACAUGGCACAAGUGGCCUGUUCUUUCUUGCUAUUUGUUGUGGGUCAGUGCCUUUUUAGUGAUCUCCAAGGGGGAGUAGACAUUCGCCUAGUGUUCUUCCUCUGAGAUCUUUAUGCAGUAGAUUUUUGGGACUGGGGUGGGGCCACCUACUCUUGUGGACCCUAGACUUGCUAUCAUAUGGAGACUGAGGUCUUAAGGGAGCAGGCUUCAUCCUCUAGGUAACUUUCCUUCUUGUACCCAUUUCCUUUCAUUCAUUUGGACUACACUUUCUUACUUUAAUCUCCUAAAAUAGCCUUGGUGCUUUGAGCACUUGGGAACUGUAGCUCCUAGACUAAGGGAUCCUCAAGCAUUCUUCUUCCCUAUAGCCACGAGGUGGGGCGACAAUCAGCUGAUCAGGGCUUCGUGCCAUCCUCUGGGGACCACCACUCACUGAGGGAUCUCACUGAGGUCACUUGGAGACCAUUCCAGUGCAUCCUAUUUCCAGACUUUGAAGGAGUCGUGUUGGCUAGGCACUUAUCCAAGAACCGAGUCCUUUUCAAGGCAAAUGGGGCCACGUCUGGUAUCUGGGAGAGAGAGUAGUACCCCAGUGGUCAGAUGUUGAGUCACGCCCCUCUCUCGGUCUUCCUCCACCCACUAUGCACUACCCAGAGAUCAUCCCAACAAAUGAGAUUGAGCAUUUGUCUGACGGAGUAUGGGAUGACUCAUUUCUUGACCAGGAUAGGGAUUACAGAACCUUCCUGGAGGAGGAGAUAGUAUGCACCCCUCUUGGUCCUGAUGGUUCAAUGGGGAGAAUGCGACGUGUAGAUCCUUUUAUUGUUCGAUCGCAUGUCAGUGCCGUUGAUCCUUCACAAGCGGGACCCUCUACCAGUGUAGGUGGGUCUCUCAGAGUUGCUAGCAUCUCCUUCUAUGGCUUCUCUACUUGGAACUAUCCCAACGCGGCCAACCCCAGUUUCCCUCGUCUUCUGGAGCAAAACACAGAUGUAGAUACUUCCCUUGGGCUGCCUAUUCCUUAUGACUAUGUGAGUAUCUGAUCAUCCUUCAAUUGACUCUUGACUUUCUUUGGCUGAUAUGCUCUUUCUUAGAUGUCUCCGA